Dermacentor albipictus is the source of this 1336-nucleotide long non-coding RNA. RefSeq lists it as uncharacterized. The record is from RefSeq and is a predicted model, not a curated record. NCBI's taxonomy places the organism in Eukaryota, Metazoa, Arthropoda, Arachnida, Ixodida, Ixodidae.
GCCGUCACCGCCGCCGCGGAGGCUCGUUCCUCACGUGACCACGUACGCGCCAUGACGUAAAGCAUGUGACAAACCCCACGUGACCUUGACGCACGUGAUCGUCUUCGCGCUCUCCACAGCUCCCUCCUCCUCUCCGUUUACGCACUUGCCGAGCGUUAUAAAAACGAGCGAACCUCCACAGCUCGGUCGAAUCACGCUUCUCUGCGUGCAAGUGUCUCAUCCUCCGAUCGAGAUCGCUCUUCUCUUGGGACUUUCGGACCCCGCCCCAUCAACAGCGAACAUGUCCAGCUCCGGAGACGUCUGCUGCGAAGGCAAGCCCGAGUGCUGCAACGAGACCAGCGAGGUGAAGAACGACGCCGAGGCCAAGGCUGAGACAGCCGCCACCGAGGUGCCCGAGGCGGCGCCGGCUCCGGCCGGCGGCGAGAGCGCCGCACCGGCCGAUGCUGCGCCGCAGGACGGCGCCAGCUCGUAGCCGCCGGGGAACAACCACCGGCUGCGCUGCCUGCCUCUGCCGCCGCCGCUUCUUCGCAGUUCUCGUCGCAGCUGCCCGCCGACGACAACCGCCUCGUCGACGACCGAUCACCGAGACCGCCGCAGGUUCCGUCGUCUGGUCUGUUCCGGUCAUCUGAAGCUCUCCGCCUCGCCGUACCAGAAGUACUGGACCCGACUCUGGCAGGUCGACCGAGAUUCUUCACCAUCGCCCCCCACCCCUAAUCAAGGAAGAUGCGAGACGGAAGCCCGGGAGGCUGCGAUUCUGCCUGCGAAGGCGCCAUCCUCCUGCUUCCCUCACGUCUUCCAGUGAAUCGAGCCACGAACCGAAAUGAGCGAGUCCUCACACCAUGAUCAAUUCGCCCGUAUGGAACGUUUUUCCUUUGCAUGCCGAAAUCGACACUCUAGAGGACAGCGAGUGGUCAGCGACCAACUUGCAUUGGCCGCAGUCGACCAAGACCAUCCAUGGAUUCGCCUGGCCACUUGUCGUCGUGGUUUUACUCCAGUUGUCACCGGAAAGGUUGGCUCGGUAGGAGAAGAGGCGGACAACCACCAAACUAAAAGCAGCAGGCGGGAGCUGCGGAGCGGCGCAAACGCGAGUCAGAGUUGGAAGAUUCCUAAGAGAUAAAAAAAAAGUGAAACGAAAACGCGCGGAGCGCCGACUUAUCCUAUAUGCUAUAUAUUUAUGUAAUGAAAGCACUCAGCUCGUGUAUACACCUGCUGGCAACAAAAAACGACAAAAAAAUUAUAAAAAGUGAGAGAAAAGAGAAGAUAGAAGCGGUGCGCCCUCUUCUUUUUUGUACAUUUCUGAGAAUAAAAGAAUAAUAAACUACAAAAUAUUUGCCAA